This 70-nucleotide transfer RNA is filed under the name Aedes vexans. RNAcentral's name for it is "tRNA-Asn". Lineage: Eukaryota; Metazoa; Arthropoda; Insecta; Diptera; Culicidae. The record is from RNAcentral.
UUAAUUGAAACCAAAAAGAGGUAUAUCACUGUUAAUGAUAUCAUUGAAUAAUUUAAUAUUCCAAUUAAGA